This 387-nucleotide ribosomal RNA is filed under the name Shigella flexneri. Its description in RNAcentral is "partial 23S ribosomal RNA". It matches the Rfam family "Bacterial large subunit ribosomal RNA", at positions 1107 to 1497 of the family's 2925-position model. Lineage: Bacteria; Pseudomonadati; Pseudomonadota; Gammaproteobacteria; Enterobacterales; Enterobacteriaceae. The record is from RNAcentral.
UAGAAGCAGCCAUCAUUUAAAGAAAGCGUAAUAGCUCACUGGUCGAGUCGGCCUGCGCGGAAGAUGUAACGGGGCUAAACCAUGCACCGAAGCUGCGGCAGCGACGCUUAUGCGUUGUUGGGUAGGGGAGCGUUCUGUAAGCCUGUGAAGGUGUGCUGUGAGGUAUGCUGGAGGUAUCAGAAGUGCGAAUGCUGACAUAAGUAACGAUAAAGCGGGUGAAAAGCCCGCUCGCCGGAAGACCAAGGGUUCCUGUCCAACGUUAAUCGGGGCAGGGUGAGUCGACCCCUAAGGCGAGGCCGAAAGGCGUAGUCGAUGGGAAACAGGUUAAUAUUCCUGUACUUGGUGUUACUGCGAAGGGGGGACGGAGAAGGCUAUGUUGGCCGGGCG